UACGUAGGGUGCGAGCGUUGUCCGGAAUUACUGGGCGUAAAGAGCUCGUAGGUGGUUUGUCGCGUUGUCCGUGAAAACUCACAGCUCAACUGUGGGCGUGCGGGCGAUACGGGCAGACUGGAGUACUGCAGGGGAGACUGGAAUUCCUGGUGUAGCGGUGGAAUGCGCAGAUAUCAGGAGGAACACCGGUGGCGAAGGCGGCAUCCUGGACCGAGAUUGACGCUGAUGAGCGAAAGCUAGGGGAGCAAACGGG
RNAcentral lists this ribosomal RNA (253 nucleotides) under uncultured bacterium. Its description in RNAcentral is "partial 16S ribosomal RNA". It matches the Rfam family "Bacterial small subunit ribosomal RNA", at positions 524 to 776 of the family's 1533-position model. The record is from RNAcentral.